RNAcentral lists this non-coding RNA (29 nucleotides) under Bombyx mori (domestic silkworm). Lineage: Eukaryota; Metazoa; Arthropoda; Insecta; Lepidoptera; Bombycidae. The record is from RNAcentral.
UGACUCCGAAACUGGACAUCGCUCGAAAU